AGAAAACAUGGCGAAUGUAAUGCAUCUGAAAUGUAUUCAUACUGCACAAACACAUACUAUAUAGAAUGUAAUGUUUUAACAGUUAGUUAGUCUAAAUUAGUUCAUUCUGUAACAGUAUGCGGAAAUCUCAGAUGCAGGUAUAGAGCUUAAUUCAGAUCUUUGGAUAUUGGCUGAAAUGUGUUUUGCUGACAUUAGGUACCUUUGGAUAUCAAGCCCCACUGGUCCAGGCAAGUGAUUUUGGGCGAUCCAGCUACCAUGUCACCAAAGAACAACUGAGAUUCCUACUCUCAUAUGGAUUUGCAGCUUCCCAAAUGGCUGAAGUCUUGGAAGUAUCAGUCAGUACAGUCAAACGGAGACUGAGGCGGUUCCACUUAUCUGAAAGCAUGAGGUAUGCACACCUUUCGGAGGCCGAAGUCGUUCGUCAGUUGGUUGGAGAGAACAAAUAGGAUCUAAUGCUGUUCGGGCCAGAAUGGCUACUAUGGGUGUACGAGUUCAGCGGAGGAGAGUGAGGGAGAGUUUGAUCCGAGUGAACCCAGCCGGAGCUGCACACAGAGCACUAUCUCAUCAACUACACCGGAGAACCUACCUAACUUUUCUCUCUGUGGCACAUAUAUGGGAACCACAAGCUGAUCAGGUGGAGAAUAGUGAUCCAUGGGGGGAUCUGUGGCUUCAGCAGACUGGUUGUAUUUUUGCAAGCUUCUGACAACAACAGGGCUGGCACAGUGUUUGACCAGUUUGUUCAAGCCACAGCUAGGUAUGGUGUUCCAUCUCGAGUUAGAUGAGACCACGGAGGAGAAAACAAUACAGUUUGUUUGUUUAUGAAUAUCUAUCAUGGAUCUGAAAGACGAAGUGCCAUCCGUGGUAGAAGUGUGCACAACCAGAGGAUCGAGAGACUUUGGGGAGAUCUUUGGCGGGGUAUGACUAAUGUGUACCACCAGCUUUUCUCCUUUCUUGAGAGUGAUGGAGUCAUUGACUGUACCAACGAGCGACACAUGUGGCCACUCCAUGAUGUGUACAUUCCCCGGAUUAACCGGGAAUUGGAGGUUUUCAGGGAACAGUGGAACAAUCAUGGUUUGCAACAAUUGCAGGAUGUGGACAUUCUUGCAGGACCUAUUGGUAGUCUAGCUAUUGAUGCACUGCAAACCGUAAUUAAUAUUCUGCAACAGUUGCUUCUUGUCGAUUGUUUCUAUUGUAAUAAGGAUGUUCAACUAUUAUUUGUUGAUUAUAUGUGUGUGU
Long non-coding RNA from Carassius auratus (goldfish), 1236 nucleotides. RefSeq lists it as uncharacterized. The transcript has 3 exons. Lineage: Eukaryota; Metazoa; Chordata; Actinopteri; Cypriniformes; Cyprinidae. The record is from RefSeq and is a predicted model, not a curated record.